RNAcentral lists this long non-coding RNA (962 nucleotides) under Selaginella moellendorffii. RNAcentral's name for it is "long non-coding RNA (SMOE_LNC000343)". The record is from RNAcentral. Lineage: Eukaryota; Viridiplantae; Streptophyta; Lycopodiopsida; Selaginellales; Selaginellaceae.
CUUUGAUGCAUUGUUGUGAAAUUUUCCUCAUUGGCUUUUUUGUUGUGUUUUAAUCGCAGGAAACGAAUGCUUGCAACCGGAUGUGACUAAAGCGUAGUAGUAACUUUCUUUCUUUCCACUUUUGUGCUGAUUUAUACAAGUUUUUUCCUUUCAUUUUUCUAAAGAGAAGGUUGCUAAGCAGAUAACAAAACAAUGCGAGUGCUAUACCAUAACAAGACCCGUUUUCAGGCAAGAUUUCAAAUCGGAUAGAAAUAACUUGCAACCGUCGUCGCCAUAACGUAGCAAAAACUUUUUCGUAGAACUGAUUUACGGCAGCAACCUUGAAAAGUAGAGCAUAAGUCAAAACAUUAUCCACAAAAGCCACAAAAUCCUUACCUUAUCACUGUCUAAGCUGAUAUUUUGCAUCGAGCCAAGCCGAACCACAACAUUUCUUCCGCGUUCCAAAUUCAGUUCGAAGCUUCCAUUUUCGAGGGAGGCAUCCCAACUUUGAUGACAAGAACAGUGCCAAGUUACGAUAGGAGAACCUGUCGUCACUGGAACUAAAGGAAAGCACGUAGGUGUGGAAGGUCAGUGGCAAUGCCGUGAGUUUGUUCUUGUUCUUCGUGAGUUUCCUCUCGCAGCUCUGAUCGAUCCAUGCCAUGAUUUUGCAGCAAAAGAGCGAUGUUUAGAGCCCCGACGCGUUGGAAGCCAAGCAGCUAUGAAGAGCAUCGGACUUAAAAGACUUUCGUGAAGACGCGUCAAGGAUCUGUUGUUUAUGUGUGAUCCUUCGCUCUGAUGUGGUCCUGCCAGAGUAUGUCCAUGCGUAAUACGACCGCUGCUCAUCAUUCUAGUAUAGCAGUAUUCUUCUCAGUCUAGACUUGACAGACGCCGUGGUUUCCUACAUAAAAGCGCAUUCACUCUUAUAACCUCACCAAGCUCAUAGAAAUGUGGCCACAUAUUAGAAUACCAAAAGAAGGUAGGAG